GGAGGUGUGAGGGUGCCUGGUGGCCCCCGCGGUCUUCAAAACCGACGUGACCGAGCAGCUCGGUCAGGCGGGUUCGAUUCCCGUCCACCUCCGCCA
This 96-nucleotide transfer RNA is filed under the name Micromonosporaceae bacterium. Its description in RNAcentral is "tRNA-Sec". It matches the Rfam family "Selenocysteine transfer RNA". The record is from RNAcentral. Lineage: Bacteria; Bacillati; Actinomycetota; Actinomycetes; Micromonosporales; Micromonosporaceae.